RNAcentral lists this ribosomal RNA (494 nucleotides) under uncultured bacterium. Its description in RNAcentral is "partial 16S ribosomal RNA". It matches the Rfam family "Bacterial small subunit ribosomal RNA", at positions 28 to 507 of the family's 1533-position model. The record is from RNAcentral.
GACGAACGCUGGCGGCGUGCCUAAUACAUGCAAGUCGAACGGUUUAGUUCCAAGAGGCUUGCCUUUUGGAACUAGACAGUGGCGGACGGGUGAGUAACACGUAGGCAACCUACCUGUCAAACCGGGAUAACCUCGGGAAACCGAAGCUAAACCCGGAUAAGCUCCUUUUUCGCAUGAAGGGGGAGUGAAAAGGUGCGACCUGAUGACAGAUGGGCCUGCGGCGCAUUAGCUAGUAGGUAGGGUAACGGCCUACCUAGGCGAUGAUGCGUAGCCGACCUGAGGGGGCGUACGGCCACACUGGGACUGGGAUACGGCCCAGUCUCCUACGGGAGGCAGCAGUAGGGAAUCUUCGGCAAUGGGCGAUAGCCUGACCGAGCCACGCCGCGUGAGUGAGGAAGGCCUUCGGGUUGUAAACCUCUGUUGUUUGGGAAGAAGGGAAAGGGUAGGACCCUUUGGUGACGGUACCAAACGAGAAAGCCCCGGCUAACUACGUG